Molecule: ribosomal RNA, 792 nt
Filed under: uncultured delta proteobacterium
Lineage: Bacteria; Deltaproteobacteria
Description: bacterial SSU rRNA
Rfam family: Bacterial small subunit ribosomal RNA
Source: RNAcentral
AGAGUUUGAUCAUGGCUCAGAAUGAACGCUGGCGGCGUGCUUAACACAUGCAAGUCGAACGAGAAAGGGAUUGCUUGCAAUCCUGAGUAGAGUGGCGCACGGGUGAGUAACACGUAGAUAAUCUACCUUCGAUUUUGGGAUAACCAUCCGAAAGGGUGGCUAAUACCGGAUAAGGUUUUAAUACGCGAGUAUAAAGAUGAAAGUAUGCCUCUUCUUGAAAGCAUAUGAUUGGAGAUGAGUCUGCGGACCAUUAGUUUGUUGGUAGGGUAAUGGCCUACCAAGACUACGAUGGUUAGCUGGUCUGAGAGGAUGAUCAGUCACACUGGAACUGGAACACGGUCCAGACUCCUACGGGAGGCAGCAGUGAGGAAUUUUGCGCAAUGGGGUAACCCCUGACGCAGCAACGCCGCGUGAGUGAAGAAGGCCUUUGGGUCGUAAAGCUCUGUCAACUGGGAAGAAGUUACAUAGAUCUAAUAGGUAUAUGUAUUGACGGUACCAGUGGAGGAAGCGCCGGCUAACUCCGUGCCAGCAGCCGCGGUAACACGGGGGGCGCAAGCGUUAUUCGGAAUUAUUGGGCGUAAAGGGCGUGUAGGCGGUCUUAUCGGUCAGAUGUGAAAGCCCAGGGCUCAACCCUGGACGUGCAUUUGAAACAGUAAGACUUGAGUACUGGAGAGGAAAGCGGAAUUCCUGGUGUAGAGGUGAAAUUCGUAGAUAUCAGGAGGAACACCGAUGGCGAAGGCAGCUUUCUGGACAGAAACUGACGCUGAUGCGCGAAGGCGUGGGUAGCGAACA